This 69-nucleotide transfer RNA is filed under the name Marmota monax (woodchuck). RNAcentral describes it as "tRNA.Ile". The record is from RNAcentral. Lineage: Eukaryota; Metazoa; Chordata; Mammalia; Rodentia; Sciuridae.
GGGGUUGUGGCUCAGUGGUAGAGCGUUUGCCUAAUAUGUGGGAGGCAUGGGGUUUGAGCCUCAACACCA